CGCACCAGUUUUUCGGCCUUGGGCCAUAGCUCAACCCAACAACAGACCGCUAAGCCCAACCCACCUGCUCUCUCUCUCUCUCGGGCGCUCUCGGUCUCGGCCAUGGAGGCCGCAAGCAAUCAGGAGCCGGGGAGAUGCGGCGGCGACGACGACGAGGCGAAGAGGAGGGAGGCAGAGCUUGCGUCAAGCAGGCUCCUCGACCCGGGGUUCAAGCCCUCCAAACUAUCCCAGGACCGGCUCGACAAGUUUAAGGUGCCCUUCUGGCUCCUGGAAUUACACAAGAAACGGUUACAGAUAACUGAAAAGCCGAAGUAUAAAAGAAAACCGAAAGGAACCACUGAGAGAAGUAUCAAAGUAACCAGCAAUUAUAAAUUCACUGAUAAGGAUGCAUCUGCUGAUAGUUCUCCAAGAGAUGUGCAUCAUAUGUCAUCAGUUACAGGAAUUCAAGGGGUACGCCUGUUUAUACUGAAUGCUGGGCGAUAUUUUUUACAUACAUUCUGUAAGCAAUGCUUUUGCUUGAAUCUUUCGACAACAAUAAAUAAACAGCCAAAAAAAGUGAAUACAGUAGCGAUGAUCUCUAUUGCUAUAGCAUUUACUUCGCCAUUCCCAGUAAUCUUUGGAUUGGUCUUAGGCAUUGGAGGUUCUAGCCAUUUUCGUGGCAAAGCACAAACUAUUUGCACAAUAUAUUUCACAGGUAUCAAGUGCUUUAUAGUUACCACUUUAAUGCAGUUGAGCAAUGAACUAAGUGCCUGGUUGGUUGGGUUCCAAAACUUGCCCAACCAAAAUCAUGGCAACCCAAAACCUAGGCUUGCCAAAGUUAGAGCAAAAAAUGUAGGCAUGCAUUUGGUUGAGUGCCAAGACAUGGCAGCGAGCACCUUCCCUCCUGUUAGAUUAAAGAAGUUUCUAGUGACUUGCCAAUAUUUUGGUCAUAGUCAUUGGUGUGCCGUGUGCCAUUUUUUGGCAACGAACCAAUUGGUAACCAAAUUUUUUUUAGGCAUGCCUUAAUUUUGGUUGGGCAAGUUUUGGGACCCAAACAAGCAGGCCCUAAAUGGUAAAGUGACUUAAUGGUUUAGUUUACCUUUUAGGUAAAAGCCCAAGAUAUUAAAAGUCUAUUAACAUCAGAAUGUCAUCAAGUAAUUCUUCAACAAUCACAUAGAACUAACUACAUACAAAUAAUCUUUUGUUAUGCUAUUUUUCUGGUGUUAUUUGACUUGACUAAAUGGAAGGGUUAGAAGGCAAGGUAGGUGGACAAUAUCGGCUUCGAGCUCUGGUAUACAGGGACAACUGUAGACAGAAAUGGACGUGAGAAGACAAGAAGGAUCCUGCAUCAGGCCUGUCCUCGAGGAACAAAAGGAAACUACAUUGGGGGCUUGACAUUAAAGAACGAUGGGAAAGAAAGGCAAACAUGUAAAAAUAUCUGAAGAUCCAACAACAAAAGCAUAUCCACACCGCACUCAUUUGAAAUUUGAAAGCUGAGGGACAAAACAAAGCGGCCGACCUUUUCCACGGAUCAUCAUGUUGCUGGUAAAGGUUUGUCAGCUAGCAGAACUGAUCAGUAAGCUAGUAUCUAAUUUUUCAGUGUUUUGUCUAACGUUUUCUCCAGACGUUUGGUUGGGACUUUGCUCUGUUGUAUUGUCCGAUCCAAACUUGCAAAGUUCAAGUGCGAUGAUAAUUUGUUUAUUGCUGUGUGAUAUAGUUUGGGUUUGUUUGUCCUCUUUUUGUGUGAGAAAAGGUACUGAUGGUGCAACACAGGCCCAUGUGCACAAUGGAACAUAGUUGUUGCUGAUGAUACUAGUGUAUAUAGAAGAUUAUUUCUCA
Molecule: RNA transcript, 1818 nt
Organism: Zea mays
Lineage: Eukaryota; Viridiplantae; Streptophyta; Magnoliopsida; Poales; Poaceae
Exons: 5
Source: RefSeq, a predicted model, not a curated record